Molecule: transfer RNA, 67 nt
Filed under: Marmota monax (woodchuck)
Lineage: Eukaryota; Metazoa; Chordata; Mammalia; Rodentia; Sciuridae
Description: tRNA.Ala
Source: RNAcentral
GGUUGUGGCUCAGUGGUAAAGCACUUGCCUAGCACGUACAAGGUGCUGGGUUCGAUCCACAGCACCA